GCUCAGGUUGUGCUUUUUUAACUUUCGAACCUGAUCUCCUGAACGCCAAAGGAUUUCCUCGCCUUUGGAUUCACUUCAACCGCAACGAAACUGCCGUCCGCCCCUCAAUUGGAUGCGGAGGGUUCAUCAUUGCCGCCCUCAGCACUCGCCGGGCAUUAUCUCCGCCCCACCAUCGCCCAACCCAGAACCACUGCGAUGGGUAUUGGGAGUGGUGGAGGAGGGGGGAGGGGGGCGGCAGACUGCGGAUCGAAUGGAGUUCCAAAGAUCCAAGACCGUUCGUUCGGCCAGGCUGCCUCGAGAUUGAGUCAAAGAUACGGUGGGGC
This is a non-coding RNA of Drosophila melanogaster (fruit fly), 323 nucleotides long. The record is from Ensembl. NCBI's taxonomy places the organism in Eukaryota, Metazoa, Arthropoda, Insecta, Diptera, Drosophilidae.